CCAGAAAAGUGCUUUUGAUGGUCCAGUGGGACAAAGGGAGCCCAGAGGAAUCAGGAAACAUCUCUUUGCUAAACACUGGAAAAAUUGAGAGAAGACAGAGAGACAGAGAGAGAGAGAGAGAGAGAGAGACGGACGGGGAGGGAGAGAGAGAGAGAGAGAGAGAGAGAGAGAAAUGCCAGUCUUCAUGGAAUUAAACCUUUGCUCUCACUCUUAGCCUGUUUUGAUAGCAUGACCUAACAACAUGCAGAAGGUGGCAGACAAAGCAGAUGGUGGUGCAGGCAGCUGGGCUGCUGGCAGGUGGAAACUGGGAGCAACUAAUUCCGUGGUAAAGAUUUUUCAAACUGAAUCUUGGUCCAGUGUCCAGCAUUCCACGGGGAAGGGGUGAAAAUACACCCUGAUGAAAACCCAUCCAGAGUCAGCACAUUUGAGAAGUUCCACUGUGAGCUUCCCUGGGCCUCCUGCAAGCCUUGGAGUGUGGUUCCUCCCACCAUCUUCAAAGCCAACAAAGGCGAAUCAAGUCCUUCUCGUAUUGCAUCACCUUGACCUCCUCUUCCGCCUCUCGCCUCUCUUCUACUUUUAAAGACUCUGUGAUUCCACUGGGCCCACCUGGGUAAUCGAGGAUAAUCUCUCUCUUUUAAGGUUACAUGAUUAGCAACCUUAAUUCCAUCUUAAUUACUCUUUGUUAUAUAGUUUAGUGUAUUCACAGUAAAUUUUAGGGAUUAGGACCUGGACAUCGUUGGGGAGACCAUUAUUCUGCCUACCAAGGCCUCUGUAUCUUUUUCAACUGUACUUUAGCGCCACGAUAUCUAGUAACACUUCCUUAACAUUUCUGGCAUAAUCUUGAUACUCUUACCUACUUUCCACGACUGAUGCCACUUUUCGUGUACUUAUGUUCAAUGGGAGAGUUACUUGGGUAUACUCAGGCCACCAAAUUUUCAGGAAAUUGCAGAUACUAUUUUUAUUAUAAAAGGAAUUAUGUGACUUUUUCAGGGAGUUUCCCCAUGAUUACAUUUACACAUUGAUUACGAAAUUUGUAGUUAUUCAGGUUAUAUUAUCUUUACUUUCCUGGAUUUGUGGCAUUCUGUUGCUCUUUUAGGAAUUUCUUUGGAAGUUUUGUUAUCCAGGAACUCCCUUUCUCAUGGGCAUUUUCAGCACAGGGUGGCUAAGAAUAAGUGAUGGAACUAAAUUUAGCCAGUUUUAGUUCUCAUAUAAAAAAUGGACUGGGGAAUGGGUCAGAAACUUCUCAUCUCAUAAUCAGUGUACUCAAUGCAAAUUUGUUGUAUUUCUCUUAUUUUGAACAUUAAGCUCUAUUAAACACUUUCCGCAUAUGUUUUCCAUUAGCUUUAAACCCUGGUGAAUAUUUGUAAGAUACCCUAGCUUUUAAUGGUCCCUUGAGGAAACCGCUGAAAUUUUUCCAAUUCAUUUUACAUUCAUUUUAUGUUGUGAAAACUAUUUUUUAUUCUACUUUAAAUUGUGUCCUAAAAAUGUCAAGGGUUUAAAUUUCUAUGAACAACUUCUUUGAUUUUGUCUCAUAAAUUAGGAUUCCCAUGGGCAUAUUAUUUUCCUUAACAUUUAAAAAUUUUCAAGAUUAUACGACAUUGUAAUAUUUACUUAUUCUCCAGGGAUGCAGUCUCCAAACAAAUUGGAUUUUUUGUUUGUUUGUUUGGUUGGUUGGUUGGUUGGUUGUUUUUACGUUAAAAAUAAUUCCUAAUUGGCUAGUAAUACCUUAAAUCCAGCUGUAUACUUCAUAUUUCAAAAAGCUUGAAGAAUAAGCUGUCCCAAAUGGCACUAAGAUAGUAUCUACACAUAAAACAACAUGAGAGUCUCUAGUUUCUUUAUUACCAAUAAACAGCAAGAUUAAUUUAUUUGUUUCCCUCCAAACAGCAUUUUAUUUGGAAUGGAGUCAUCGUAACCUUUUCUUUUAUGCACUUAAUGAUCUAGAUUUUUGUUGAACUCCACAAUCUAAACACUAUUUAGAUCUACUACUAAUGAUGUAAACCUUCUGUGCUGACAGAACACCCCAUGUGCUAACUUUCAGCUUGGGUCCCCCGAUAUAAAGUCUGCUGGUAAAAGUUGCUGAGCACUGUCAGGCUUAUCAACAGACCUCAGUGAGGAGUGUGGCAUUUCAGCGAUACUAAGCUAGGGCUGAGCUGUUCAGACAUACCAUUCAUCACCUCCUUCACAGGGUCUGGACAGGCAUUCCUGCUUCUAAUCAGUACUUAUAUGGUGUGGGAACAACGAAAACAAAAAGAUGUCUGCUGCACCAAAGUAGGACAGUCAUUAUAUCUAGUGGUUGUUGAGUUGGUCAUGUACUAAUUACUCUCAUUGAGAUAUAUUGCUCAAGAAAAAUGAGGAAUGAAUAGCGGCCAGGACAGGCGUGAAUGAGAAAGACCUUCACAAAUCCUUAGGUUUGGUGUUUCAGAGGAACCAGUUGUUGAAGAGAAGGCUAGAAGUAAAGAAUUGAAAAUAGGCUCUGGAAGUAUCGGCAUUAAUAUACCAAAUAAAAUAAAGUUUAUUUUUAUUUGGAUUAUGCAGAUUAAUAUUAAUGCAUUCUAUAUAGAAAAUCAGACCGUUGAACCAGAGGGCCCACCUCCGUCUAAGACUGACUUGGUGUGAUCAGACCUCACUGUAUUUUUAAACCUGCUGGGGUGAGGGAGGAUAUGGAGCCAUGAAUCUUUCCCUGCUUGGCACAAGAUGAGUUGGUGAUGUCAGAUGUGGCAGUGGCCUGAUUCCUACUAGUGGUUGUUAUAGCUCUCUUUGAAAGAGAGGUUCUCCUAAAUAUCCUAUGUUAGAAAUUAACUAAAUAAAGUAUGGUUUGUAUUUAAACAGAUUAUGAAGAAGUCAUUAAAAUCACAUUCUUUAAGAAUAUUUAACUACACAACAAAAUACUCACUAUUACAAAAGGGGGUAGGCAACAGGAUGCAAAAAUUAUUAAAAUGUACCAAAAUGUUUUCAGUAUUUGUUUCUGGAUGUUAGCAUUAUAGUAAAUUUAAAAUUUUAUUUUUUAUGUUUUUUUUUUUUUUUCUAUUUCUUGGAUAUUCCACAAUGACCACAUGCUCUUAUUAUCACGGGGAAAAUGUAUUUUUAACACAGAAAUUUAAGAAAAAUGCUCAAAGCAAAUAUUCCAGGCCUGGAUCUAUCAGUUCUAAAUUUUGUUGAAUAAGAUUGAGAGCUAUAUGGACAAUAUUUAAUCUUGAGAUUUGGGUUAUAUUCGACAGGUAAAAUGUUGGUUGAAUAUAUUUUUAGUGGAAUUUGAUCCUCAUGUUAUUUCAGGGGGCAAUUUUAAAGAUAAAUAUGAAAGUAAUAAUUAUUUCCAGUAUGUUAAAUAUGUACAAAGAUAAGCUUUAAAUUUUGUAUUUUUCAGUGGGAAAAGAAAAAAAUUAAGCUAGUGUAAUGCUGUGGUCCCAAUGUUGGUGGCCACUAAAAUUCAUAUGUGAAACCUACUCCUUAAUGAAAACAUAUUAAGAGGUGGUGGGCAUUUGGGAGGUGAUUAGGUCAUAAGGGUGAUAAAAGAGGCUCAAAGGACCUGUUUACCCUUCCAUCAUGUGUGGACAUGUAGAAGGCACUACCUAUGUGAAACAGGGCCUCACCAGACACAGAUUCUGCUGGUGCCUUGAUCUUGGACUUCCCAGCUCCCAGAACAGUGAGCAAUAAGUUUCUGCUGUUUAUAAAUCACUCACAUUUUAUCUGGAAUAAAUGCUUGUGGAAAUUUGGUUAUUCCACAUCCAUAUCACCUUUGAAGUGUUCAGUAGAUAUUUUUCUUAAUGAAUAAAUGAGUGUCUGUUUCAGUCAAUCUAUUGCAGAACCAUUAUUGCCAGUGACAAAAGUCAUUGUUUGUUUGCCCUUUGGCUAAAACUAACAAAUAGAGAGAAAGCUGAACUCACCAGUAAGCAAUUUUGAGCUGUGAGCAUGUUAUGUGAAGUUAUUCUAUGUUCUAUGAUAACCAUGAAAAUAUCAUUUAGUGUUAUUUCCAGGAUAUACAAAAAAUUAGGAGGUAAGCUCUUUGAAAUUCAGCUCUUAUUUUCUUUAUGCUACAGAGAAAGGGGACAGUGGAAGGUAAGAAUAAUAUCUUAUUGUUGAAUAACAGUAAUCUCCUAAACUAGUGAAGGC
Long non-coding RNA from Papio anubis (olive baboon), 4110 nucleotides. Lineage: Eukaryota; Metazoa; Chordata; Mammalia; Primates; Cercopithecidae. The record is from Ensembl.